This 508-nucleotide ribosomal RNA is filed under the name uncultured bacterium. RNAcentral's name for it is "partial 16S ribosomal RNA". The stretch from base 15 to 371 matches the Rfam family "Bacterial small subunit ribosomal RNA", at positions 42 to 397 of the family's 1533-position model. The record is from RNAcentral.
GACGAACGCUGGCGGCGUGCUUAACACAUGCAAGUCGAACGGAAAGGCCCUGCUUUUGUGGGGUGCUCGAGUGGCGAACGGGUGAGUAACACGUGAGUAACCUGCCCUUGACUUUGGGAUAACUUCAGGAAACUGGGGCUAAUACCGGAUAGGAGCUCCUGCUGCAUGGUGGGGGUUGGAAAGUUUCGGCGGUUGGGGAUGGACUCGCGGCUUAUCAGCUUGUUGGUGGGGUAGUGGCUUACCAAGGCUUUGACGGGUAGCCGGCCUGAGAGGGUGACCGGCUGCGCUACGAUGGGGCAGCGCCGCGGACGAGAGGGGGGGGGAGGGGGGGGGAUAAUUGCACGACGGAGGGGAGCGGGAGGCAGCGACGCGGGGGGGGGGAUGACGGGCUGCGGGUUAGUCACGGCUGUCGGCGGGGAGGGGGCGGGAGGGACGAUAGUGGGAAAGGAACCCCCGGCAACCAACGGACCAGCAGCCGAGGUAAAAAUCGAAGAGCAUGCUCCUGACC